AAUUUUGCGUUUUUGUUAAUGGCCUUAUUCUUAAAAAAUAAAGUAUGUGUUUAGGCCUUAAGCCUAAAUAUUUCCAAAAGAUAAUGCACCACCCUAAUGUGUCAUUCGCAUAUGUAAAUGUACAUGCAUACUUGUACACAUGUAUAUAUAUAUUAUAUAUUCGCGCCGUUAGUUUAAGUUUCCCCCCGGAUAAAGUAUCUUUCGUUGAAUUUCCCCUCAAUGUCUUUUCUUUGUCCGCUGGUUCGAACGAAAAUCACGGCUUUAGAUGUGUCACUUUUUCAUCGGGAGACCAAUGAGAAAGAACUGCAGCUACCAGGCCACAUUAGUUUCUGGUAAAACCAUUGUAAACCAACAUAUAUACACCAAUUCAAAAUACUUGGACAAUUAAUAAAACCAUUAAACUAAAAUGAGUUUUAUUUGUCUUUUUUUCCUCAUUUUUCAAACCUCAUUGUGACCACUUUGCGCACCAAACUUGAGCCGUACUGCGUCACAUUGACGUUUUUAUUGGUCCUUAGGAGCCGUGAAACCAACAUACAGUCCACAUUAGAAGAAAAAGCGAACCCAAAAAGUAAUUGAGCCACUUCUACGAAAAAUUUGGUCACAUCAAGCUGCACAUAACAGCGAUCCUGCUACAGCCACAGCCACACUUAUUCGUGCUACGAACCAGCAAAACACUGAUAGCAUCACCGUCCAACAAGCAGUUUCACCAGCUACUAGGAAACUAAGGUUGAAUCUCAAAGAACUCGAAAGCGUAAAAAGUCUGACAAUAACUCAGAGUUUCUCGAAAAGGCCAUACAGCAUCUGGAUCAAGCCAAGAACUCAAAUAGGGAACGCGAUGAUGCUGACGUGUUUGCUGAAUCUUGGGCAAUUUUAUUUAGAAAAUUGUCAGCGGAGCAGCAAAUAUACGCAAAACGAGGUAUUGAAGAGAUCCUAGUACAUGGACAGUUGGGAAACCUUCAUAUGAAUUCUGUACAAAUAACCGUCUCUCAAAGAAAUCCAAGGACCUAUACAAUAUCCCGCGCCUCGACUCCAUGUUCAUCGUCGUCUAUUCCCGACCCUUUUCCUACAGUUUACACACAAGCACCGCAAUUACUUAUUUCAAGGCGCACUAUGCCACGAAAUGAAUACUCGCAGUCCGGGUUUGCAGAAUCACCAGAAUUUAUUCACUCAAAUAAUUCUGGGUCAGCGCAAUCUUUUGAUGAACUAUUUUCGGACGCUCAAUACCAGUGACUUUUCAUUAUUUUAAUUUUAAUUGUUAUUAAUUUUAUAAUUAAAUAAACGUUUAUUAAUAAACUAGCUUAUUGCCGCAGGGUUUCACCCCACGUUAUACAAACAGUUCUUUUGUGUUCUUCACAGUACAUUUUGUAUGUGCCGAAGCUGGUUCA
Molecule: RNA transcript, 1385 nt
Organism: Rhagoletis pomonella (apple maggot)
Lineage: Eukaryota; Metazoa; Arthropoda; Insecta; Diptera; Tephritidae
Exons: 2
Source: RefSeq, a predicted model, not a curated record